UACGUAGGGUGCGAGCGUUAAUCGGAAUUACUGGGCGUAAAGCGUGCGCAGGCGGCUUUGCAAGACAGAGGUGAAAUCCCCGGGCUCAACCUGGGAACUGCCUUUGUGACUGCAAGGCUAGAGUACGGCAGAGGGGGAUGGAAUUCCGCGUGUAGCAGUGAAAUGCGUAGAUAUGCGGAGGAACACCGAUGGCGAAGGCAAUCCCCUGGGCCUGUACUGACGCUCAUGCACGAAAGCGUGGGGAGCAAACAGG
RNAcentral lists this ribosomal RNA (253 nucleotides) under uncultured marine bacterium. RNAcentral's name for it is "partial 16S ribosomal RNA". It matches the Rfam family "Bacterial small subunit ribosomal RNA", at positions 524 to 776 of the family's 1533-position model. RNAcentral also lists the same sequence under 1 other name. The record is from RNAcentral.